RNAcentral lists this ribosomal RNA (475 nucleotides) under uncultured bacterium. RNAcentral describes it as "bacterial SSU rRNA". It matches the Rfam family "Bacterial small subunit ribosomal RNA", at positions 328 to 793 of the family's 1533-position model. The record is from RNAcentral.
CGCUAUCACUCCUACGGGAGGCAGCAGGUAGGGAAUCUUACCACAAUGGGCGCAAGCCUGAUGGAGCAACACCGCGUGAGUGAAGAAGGGUUUCGGCUCGUAAAGCUCUGUUGUUAAAGAAGAACACGUAUGAGAGUAACUGUUCAUACGUUGACGGUAUUUAACCAGAAAGUCACGGCUAACUACGUGCCAGCAGCCGCGGUAAUACGUAGGUGGCAAGCGUUAUCCGGAUUUAUUGGGCGUAAAGAGAGUGCAGGCGGUUUUCUAAGUCUGAUGUGAAAGCCUUCGGCUUAACCGGAGAAGUGCAUCGGAAACUGGAUAACUUGAGUGCAGAAGAGGGUAGUGGAACUCCAUGUGUAGCGGUGGAAUGCGUAGAUAUAUGGAAGAACACCAGUGGCGAAGGCGGCUACCUGGUCUGCAACUGACGCUGAGACUCGAAAGCAUGGGUAGCGAACAGGAUUAGAUACCCUGGUAG